UAGUCAAUCUUUAAUAACGAAAGCGGAUAAAGAGAAGUAACGCCAUAUUGUGUUGAGGCGAGACAGAAGAAGAAAGUUCGUGUAAAUACACAAAAUAAACAUGGAAGACAUGUUAAUUGUUGUGAAAAACCCGAAGUAUUAUUCAGCGAAAGAAGAAGGGGAACUCUCAGAUGACGAUGAAGACGGAAUAGUUCGUAAUGAAGGCCGUGGUGAAACAGACGAGAACAAACCAGUAGAAAACAACAACAACAACAACAACAAACAUUAUUGUAGGAAACCUCCAUUGUUUAACAAUCAUUCCAGAGGUAUUUUUGAUAAAUUUGGUAACAAUAUGAGAGAUCCUUCCUGUGGUAAUGGUGCUCCUUUCCCAUUGUCUCCAAACCGUAGCGGUGAAGACAGCCCAAGUGGGUACUUCAAAAAACGGCGACCACCCCCGCCACCUUCGUUAUCUUGUGGUAUGAUGAAUCCGGGUGGCCGUAGAGACAACAGCAACCCUAUGUCUUCUGACAUGUGUGGUAGUAAUUCUAAUACAAGUGUUAGUGGUGGUUACUGGGCACCUCCGCCACCUUUAAGACCACAUCACCCGUCACGAAUUCCUCAACAAAUGCCACCGAUGUCUCACCACCCUUAUCGUCCUUCGCCUCCAAGGUGUCCAGGUGGACCGGGUGUUGAGAACCUUGGCCCUGGAGGACAUGGUCAGAUGCCUCCUGGUAACAGAGAUGGUCUUCCUCCUGGGCCUUGGCAAGACAAUCGUCGAUACGGUCCUAUGACUCCUCGCAGUAAUUUUCAAUUAUGGGAGAAGAAACGGAGAAUGCGUGAGAGUCGUGGAUCGCUGUUUUCUGUUGGUGCUCAUCAAAUGUCAUCUCUCAAGGAAAACAGUGACUAUGAAGACCUGUUGAGAAAGUACCGUAGUAUUCAAAAACAAAUAGCCAAUCUUGAUGAAGAAGAGAAUUUAGCUGUUCAGGAUAAAUCUACUCAGUCUCCUGGCAACAAGAAUUGGGACUCCUAUCGAACUAUUUCUGUUAGCUCCAAAGGUUCUCAAUCUCAUGAAUCAUCUUCAGAGUCUAAUAAAAAAACAAAAAGUCGAUGGAAUCCACCAAAAUCUGGGUCAGAAAGUAAUGAUAAGAGAGUAGUUUUUGUUAAUUCUCACAAGGCUGAAGAUGAGGAUGAUGAAAUAGAAGAACUGCGACGCAUUGCUUUAGCCUCAACAUCAGAAAAUAACAAACCUAAACCCUCUGUUUCAAAAUCCUCUCAGUCAAAGCCUGUUAGUCGGUCAAGAUCUGAGACUUUGCGUCGGAAGACAAACUCUUCAAAUAGAUCGUCAUAUAAAAGAGAGUCAACAGUGUUGAGAGAACAAUCCUGUAAUAAAAGCGGAAUCAAACGGAAACUUGGAUUCCUGAAGCACCGACCAGCUUACCGUUCGUGUCGUAGAAGAUUGAGUUCCAGUGAAGAUAAGUCAAAAUUGGUAAAUAACCAACGCAGAGAGAUAAAUAAAAUUCUUGAAGUAGAUGACCCAGUUGAACAAAUAGAGAGACUAGCGAAGUAUCUCAGUGAAAAGAAGAAGGAAUUGGCAAUUAACAAUAAGCCUCCAUCCUGUUUGUCCCAGCUGAAUGAAACCAAAAGCGAUGGUAAAACAAGUAAGGUGCUCCAAGACAACUAUGAAGAGGUAGCAAUGGAAAUUGAUUCUGAUGAUGGUCUUGUUGCUGUUAAUGAAAUUGAAGACAUUCAUAUACAAAGAGAGCCAUCCCUUAUGAGUUCUAUAUCUGAACUGCCGCCAGUAUCUAACAGAAAUGGUCAAGAUAUGAACUUUGAAAGCAAUCCCAAAAAUUGGGUGACUCUAAUACCACCUCCUCCUCCUCCGCCUCCGCCGCCACCUCCACCACCGCCGCCACCACCUCCACCUCUUGUUGACAAGUCUGAGAAAGUUAAGCCCAAUGAACUCUCUCUCCUUGUGUCUAGUGUUGAUUCCUCAUCACAACUACCAUACACUCUUGAUCCACUUCUAAGUCCAAAUGUACAACCGUUGAUGUUUCACAGUCUAGUACCACCACUUCCACCCCCUCCACCACUACCUGAUGAGAAACCACCGGAGAAGCCACCUGAGCCAGACUAUGAAGAAGAUGAAGAGGAGGAGAAGCUGCUACGGGCACAGUUGCUACAAUCAAUGGCCAUACGUCGCAAAGAAAGUGUUCAGAUCCCACCUAAGGCUAUUGUUGAUGAUACUUCAGGGAAAGAAUCGCCAUUUUCUCCUAGGAGUCAGUCUCCUCACAACACUGAUACAAACUUACCUGAUAAGAAACAGCCUCCUCAGCAACAGCCGUAUUGUGCUCCAAAGAUUCCGAAGCAUCCUUCUGUAGUAAUAAACUUGGCUGAGGAUUCUACUGAUAGUGAACAUGAGGCAGAAGCAGAAAGUCAAAAACAGAACAUUCUGUCUGGUAUUGACCAAUUUCUUAAAGAUGCUCGCAAAUCAGUUGAGACCAAGAAGAACAGUAUGGAAUCAAAAGACGUUAGUAACAUUAAGAAAAAUAUCAGCCUGAAUAAGCAGGAAGUAGAUUUGUAUACUGCAGACAGGGGCUUUCGGGAACUCGAAGAGAAAUAUGUUGCUCAAAGAAAACUAAUGUUACAAGACCAAAGAGAAUUGAAAGCUCUAGUAACCCAAGCAUCAAAAGUCCUUACCAAAAUCAAAUCAACAGAAAAAAAGUGUGAGAUUUUCAGGAAAAAUCUGAAAAACUCUGAUCAUUUGGUUGCUAUGUAUCGUAAACAAGAUAUUAAAAUUAAAGACAAGAUACAACUUGUGAAGAUUCAGCUUGCUCAUAAUGAGUCCACGGUAUUACAGUUAGAAAAGAAUCUCCUACAAAUUGGGAAACGUCUUUAUGGUGCCUGCUACCAACCCCGUACAAUUGCUGUUGAUAGUGCUGGAAACAAAAGGGUAUUGCCCCUUCUUUCACAUAAUCAGCUUAAAACAAAAAUUGAGGAUAUUCCUCAUAAAAGACAACAACUUCAACAGAUGCAGCAACAGUAUGCACUAAUGUUGCAGAAGCUACAGACUCAAGCCAAUAAGAAGAUUACCAAAUCAUCAGUCCUUCAGCUGGAGAAAAUUUCAUUAGACUGUACUGAGGAAGCUGAGGCAGCCUCUCAACAAAUUGCUGAGAAAAUAGAUUCUCGACGACGUUCAAUGAUUUCACUUAACUCCAAAAUGAAGCCAGAGAUCAUCCAGAACAAAGAAAAUAUUCAACCAGAUAUACGUGUCCCUCAGCAAUUAGAUAAGACAGAAUAUAACUUUGAAAUGCCUGAAAAUUCACAGCUAGCAAACCUUAAAACGAUUUUGCAUGAAAAGAUGCAAAAUUUAAUAGAACCAGCACAAUCAAAAGCUGUUUCUUGGGAAAAUUUCUCUCAUUUGACUCCACCUUCAGAUUCUAUUCCUUAUCCUAAAUCUGAUAAUCAGUCCCUGAAUAAUCUCAAAAUGUCCCAAGCUUUAAGAUCAUAUAAGCCAUAUAAAAGUCCCUUGUUACAUUUUCGAGCAUAUCGUUUCAGUCCUUUUCUUCGUACAAAAGAGAAUUUGUCCCUUUCUAGCCAGAGUUUCUCUCAUAAACUGAACUGCAAAAAUAUUCUCUGUCAGUAUGAUCUUCAAGGAACCUGCAAUGACCAACAGUGUAAAAGUCAACAUUUGAAGGAUUGUUCCAUGUCAACACAGGAGAUUUUACAAGAUAUUGUAUCCUAUGCUCCUGCUCUAACUGGUGCUUCUAAGGAACAAUCUGGAGAAAAAAUAGCUGGCCAAAUUUGUGAUUAUGUAGAAAAUAUAAUGAAUCAAAACCAAGGUAGAAUGACUGUUGAUGAAUUGUGUUUACUUCAGAUCAGCAAAGUAAAUGAAUUUGUGCAUCAUGUUCCUCCACAUACCAUGUUUUUUGAACCACGAUGUUGGAAACCAAAUCAAGAAAGUCUGCCUGAUACUGUAGUUGACAUUGACAAAAUUUACACUCAGGAAACUGAUCUCAACCCCCUCUUCAUGAGUUCAAAACCAGAUGUUUUGUCUGAGUGGGAAGAUAUAAUUGAAGAACAAGAUGUACGUUAUUUCGAUAUUGGUAACAAUACAGCAGCAAUCCUAGAUUUGGAGGCUGCUGUACUGGAGAAUCCUCAGAACGAGCAACUGUGGUUGAAACUUGCAUACAAAAAGUUGUCUAGUCGAAGCAGUGAUGCUGAAUCAGGUCACCUAGAUCAAGCUUUGAAUGUAUUAGCACGUGGUCUAGAAAACAUGAAACAGUCUCCAGAUCUCUGGCAAUAUUAUUUACAGUUGUAUAGUCAACAUCCAGACAGCAAAAAUGACCUUGUUGAUAUGUGUUGUGUUGCCAUUCAAAAUGCUCCUUCAUAUACUUUAUGGUGGCAGUACCUCUGUGCUACGGAAAACUAUUUCAGUAAGAUUGAAAUAUGUAAGCAGAUGCACCAAUAUUUAAAGAAGCAGGAGCCCAGUGAAGUAGUAUCACAACAUAUCACUGAAGUUUCACUAUACCGAUUGGGUAUUACAGUUGUUAGUAAUCGCUUCAAAACUGGAUUGUUGUUUUUCAAGAAUCUACUGCAGACUCCCUCCUCUCAUGAUGAAGAAUUGAUGUCAAUGCUACGCCCAAGUGAUCGAGCUUUGUUAUGGCUCUGCUAUAUCUAUUUACAUGAAUUUCAGCGGUUACCUGACCAACUAUAUGAUUCAACAGGUCAUUUUCUUGACCAUUUGUUCCCUAAGUCUCUCCACAUAGAUUGGUAUAGCCAUUCCAAGCUGCAGUGUGAUAUCAAAUUCUUACAGAAGCUUUAUGAAGAGUGUUUGACUUUCUGUUUACAAACUGAUGGUGAAAGAACUGAUGAGCAUGACAAAGUGUCUUCUGAAGUUUACUGUAACUUUCUAAAACUUCUUCACAGUCAGUCCAGAAUGGAUGAAGCCCUUUCUAUAGGGCGUGAAGUGUUAAUGAAGUGGCCACACUUGGAUGACAUUUGGCUCUCAAUGGCUGAAUUUUAUUCAGCAGACAAGAACGUUACUGCUGUUUGGCAGAUAUUUGAUGAGGCACUGAAAACUGGAUGUUACUCAGCAAAGCUUUACUUGUAUGCAUCUCACAUGGCAUUGAGUUUGACUGAUUCUGAAUGUGCAUUAAGAUAUCUGGAGCAGGCAUCAAUAUCUUGUUUCUUGAUAGACAUUACUGAUAGUCGUUGUGAUCCAAACAUUCUUUAUUGCUGUCUACUUCGUCAGACCAUCCCUCUUGACUAUAAAAUACCUGAUUAUUGUGAAAAUAUUUCUCCAGAAGUUCUUCAAAAGAAUCAGUUAUAUUUCUGGCUUACUUAUUGUUUAUUAUUGGAGUUACAAAGUGAUUAUAGUCAAGCGAUUGAAGGAUAUGAAACUGCUUUGUCCGCUAUGAAAUCAACAUCUGACAUUGCUCAAGUUUGGCUACAUUACUUGAACUAUCAAAUUCGCCAAGCAGCUCAUGAAAGAAGCAGUGCUGCUGAUAAACUUCAAAGCCUGGUUAUUCGUAGCUUGACUUGCCUUCCAAGUCGAGUGGAGACCUCUACUUCUCGAUACUGGCAUGACCACCAGCAUCAUAACAAAAUCAUUGAUCUUUAUAUUAACUGUCUGGAAUCAACUGAACAGAAGAUGGCUGCUUAUGAUAAAUUCCUUACUAUCAUGCCUAACAAUAUUGAACUCAUACUCAGAGCUGUUGACCUGGCUGUGAGCUGUAAUGAUAUGUGGAGAGCUUUAUCAUUUUGUCAAACUGGGGUCCAUGAAAAACUUCCUUGUAUCAGUUUGUGGAACAAAGUAACUGCAUUGACAGUCCUUAGAUGUAGCCAGAUUGAGGUGCAACAAUUAUUUAUCAAAGCUGUCCGAGUGCUACCCUAUGCUGUAUCAUUGUGGAAACAUGUAACAAAGAUUUUUAUCAAUUUUUAACCCUCUCCCUCCAUUCAGUAGUCCUCAGUCUAGUUUAGUUGGUUGGUGGGGACAUGUAUAUAGUUAUUAAAUUAUUUUGUCUUGCUAAGAGCUAGUUAUUAUUGAUACCAACCAGUAUUAAAUUCUUCAUUACUCACCUUUUUUUUUUCUAAUAAAUUCUUUUGGACAAAAAUAAAUUAAAUUUACAAAUAACAUUUAAAAAAAAAUUAGCUUAUGUAUUUCGUUUGUAGAAACCAGUUAGCUUUUAUUUCCAUUUUCAUUCUCUUUUAAAUAAACCAAUCCAUUUUUGCAAUUUCAUUUUCCUUGUAUUUCCUCCUUGAUGAAUGUUCUUUACCAAGUCUGAUUAAGUAAUGGUUUUAAGUUACCAAUCUUUGUAUAUAUCUUAGUUAUAUAUGCUUGACACUGAAUCACCAUUGUAUGUUGACAUAUUUUUCUUGAAUUGUGUUUUUUCUCAACUUAAAAUUUGUAUAUUUAUAUUUGUCCAACUUCUUUGAUUAUUGAAACCAAAACUUUCUUUAGAUCAGUGAUUUAAAGUAUUGUACUUCUUUUUUUUACUAGUUAAUAUGUAAGGUCAAAAGAAAAAGCAGCUACAGUGUAGUUUAUCUUAAGAGUCGGCCAUUCUAUCAGCAGAGAAAAUAGUAGUAUAUAUAUAUUUUAAUUAUAUAUUUCUGAACUUAGAGUCCAAGAUACUUUAGUAAAUAUAUAAUUGUAGAUAUCUGUUGAUAACCAUUGUUUUAGUUCCUUUUCUUCAUUAUCUUAUUCUCACUUUAUAUUUUUUUCAUUUUCUGUUUAUUUAUCUUUAUCUAGUUCCUGUUGUUUGAAGUGACUAUUGGAGCCAAGUCCAAUGUGCUGCAGAUUAUCCAGCGUUGUCAGCAGCUUGGACUCAAUAUUGAUGGCUUUGUGAAGACAAUUUCCAGGUGACAGGCAGUAAAUAAAUAAAUAAAAGAUAAACUUUUACUUCCUACUUUGAAAACCACAGCAAACUGAGAUUAGAGAAUCUGGAAGUAUUUUAGCUUUCAGCAACAUUACUAGUUGGAUCUUUAUGCUUUCUUUUCUGGCACUUUACUAAUGUGACUGGUUAAGGAAAGCAAGUAUAUUUGUAUAAAUUUUGAAAGCAAACCCUUUUAGUAAUAUUUAAAAAGUUAAUGUUUGACAUCCAUCACAGUAUUACUGUGUUGGUAAAGCUAAACAAAUCUCAGUUUUUCUGUUAUAUGGGUCUAUUAUGGCCACUGGUAUUCACUACAGGCUAGUUACUACUACUGCUACAACAAGCUGAAUUCAUUCCUGGUCUCUUGCUGUCACUGCUGAAUAGUGCUGGUAAUGUUACUAAACCACAGUAAGUAUUAUGUUCCUCUACUUCCUUUACUUCAAAAAGAAUAAAAGAAAAGAAAAUGCAAGAUGCUGUUUACUCAAAAUCCAAGUAGAUCUAACAGCAUCCAUGUAUUUCAUGUAUAGGAUUAAUUUCUCCCUUCUUUGCAGAUUAUCUGAUGUUGUCUUUUAAACUCUAAUGAUUAAUUGCUCAAUGUCUGGAAAGAUGAAUAUUGAAUACUUGAAAUAUUUGGCAAUAUUUACCAAAUUCUGUGUAUGAGUAUGAUUGCAAUGCAAUGGCAACUACUUAACAUAAAAAACAAAUUUCACUUGUUGAGUAUGAAUACAUUCUCUUGUGCAAAAGAUAAAAUGACUGCGUGUGGAUGCCUGAGUGUAUGUAUUUGAAAGUUGGACCUGAUGAAGCUAACUUUAUGUAAAUGGUUGAACUUUCAUUGUUGAACUUUAGCUGUCUUCUUGCUAUAUUGUAGUUGCUUCUCGGUUUCAUAGUUAACUACUCAAUAACCUCAUCAAGAGUUUCAUGAUUUUUUUUAUAUAUAUAUUAAUGCCCUAAUCAAAUUUCUAUUCUCAGGUUUUAAUUAAAAAUUUUCACUGUAAAUAAUCUUU
RNAcentral lists this unclassified non-coding RNA (7852 nucleotides) under Octopus sinensis (East Asian common octopus). RNAcentral's name for it is "zinc finger C3H1 domain-containing protein, transcript variant X1". Lineage: Eukaryota; Metazoa; Mollusca; Cephalopoda; Octopoda; Octopodidae. The record is from RNAcentral.